RNAcentral lists this ribosomal RNA (236 nucleotides) under uncultured bacterium. RNAcentral's name for it is "partial 16S ribosomal RNA". It matches the Rfam family "Bacterial small subunit ribosomal RNA", at positions 355 to 608 of the family's 1533-position model. The record is from RNAcentral.
UGGGGAAUAUUGGACAAUGGGGGCAACCCUGAUCCAGCAAUGCCGCGUGUGUGAAGAAGGUUUUCGGAUUGUAAAGCACUUUCGACGGGGACGAUGAUGACGGUACCCGUAGAAGAAGCCCCGGCUAACUUCGUGCCAGCAGCCGCGGUAAUACGAAGGGGGCUAGCGUUGCUCGGAAUGACUGGGCGUAAAGGGCGUGUAGGCGGUUUGUACAGUCAGAUGUGAAAUCCCCGGGC